AGCUCCAAUAGCGUAUAUUAAAGUUGCUGCAGUUAAAAAGCUCGUAGUUGGAUUUCUGGCGUGACGCGCCUGGCCCGCGUGCGGUUUCGUAUGUGAGUGCUGGUGCGCGUCUGCCAUCCUUCUAGAAAACUAUGUUCUCCCUUCGCUGGGCAGAGCGUCGUGAUCUAGAUCUUUUACUUUGAAAAAAUUAGAGUGUUCAAAGCAGGCUUGCGCUGUGAAUACAUUAGCAUGGAAUAAUAAUUUAGGACUUUGUUUCCUAUUUUGUUGGUUUCUAGGAAUGAAGUAAUGAUUGAUAGGGAUAGUUGGGGGUGCUAGUAUUCAGCGGCCAGAGGUGAAAUUCUCAGAUUCGCUGAAGACUAACUUAUGCGAAAGCAUUCACCAAGGAUGUCUUCUUUAAUCA
This 400-nucleotide ribosomal RNA is filed under the name phytoplankton environmental sample. RNAcentral describes it as "partial small subunit ribosomal RNA". It matches the Rfam family "Eukaryotic small subunit ribosomal RNA", at positions 587 to 979 of the family's 1831-position model. The record is from RNAcentral.